This 238-nucleotide long non-coding RNA is filed under the name Physcomitrium patens. RNAcentral describes it as "long non-coding RNA (PPAT_LNC003359)". Lineage: Eukaryota; Viridiplantae; Streptophyta; Bryopsida; Funariales; Funariaceae. The record is from RNAcentral.
UAUCUCAAGAUUUGAUUUCAACUUAGGUUGACAAUUGGUCCUCUUUGGAUAUCAAUUUUUAGCUUCUUGAGGUAAUUUUUGCUAAAAUCUACUCUCAAAUUCUUCUUAAAUAUGUCUAUAAUAUUUAAUUUUCCAAUCUACUUUUUUCUCCUUAUGUAUAGCCUUAUAAAGUAAGUACAAGCCCAUUUUGUAAAAAAAUAGUAUUAUCAUUUUUUAGGUUUAUUAUAUUUUUUACUAU